UACGAGGGGGGCAAGCGUUGUUCGUAAUUAUUGGGCGUAAAGGGCGCGUAGGCGGCGCCACAAGUCACUUGUGAAAACUCUGGGCUCAACUCAGAGCCUGCAAGCGAAACUGUGGUGCUGGAGUAUGGGAGAGGUGCGUGGAAUUCCCGGUGUAGCGGUGAAAUGCGUAGAUAUCGGGAGGAACAACUGUGGCGAAAGCGGCGCACUGGACCAUAACUGACGCUGAGGCGCGACAGCUAGGGUAGCAAACAGG
This 253-nucleotide ribosomal RNA is filed under the name uncultured bacterium. Its description in RNAcentral is "partial 16S ribosomal RNA". It matches the Rfam family "Bacterial small subunit ribosomal RNA", at positions 524 to 776 of the family's 1533-position model. The record is from RNAcentral.